Molecule: ribosomal RNA, 253 nt
Filed under: uncultured bacterium
Lineage: Bacteria
Description: partial 16S ribosomal RNA
Rfam family: Bacterial small subunit ribosomal RNA
Source: RNAcentral
GACGGAGGGUGCAAGCGUUGUUCGGAAUUACUGGGCGUAAAGCGCGCGUAGGCGGCUCGGCAAGUCGGGCGUGAAAUGCCGGGGCUCAACCCCGGGACUGCGUCCGAUACUUCCGAGCUGGAGGUAGGUAGGGGAGAUCGGAAUUCCUGGUGUAGCGGUGAAAUGCGCAGAUAUCAGGAGGAACACCGGUGGCGAAGGCGGAUCUCUGGGCCUUACCUGACGCUGAGGCGCGAAAGCUAGGGGAGCGAACAGG